RNAcentral lists this transfer RNA (67 nucleotides) under Marmota monax (woodchuck). Its description in RNAcentral is "tRNA.Ile". The record is from RNAcentral. Lineage: Eukaryota; Metazoa; Chordata; Mammalia; Rodentia; Sciuridae.
GGAUGUAGCUCAGUGGUAGAGUGCUUGCCUAAUACAUGUGAGGCACUGGAUUCAAUCCUCAGCACCA